RNAcentral lists this ribosomal RNA (495 nucleotides) under uncultured bacterium. Its description in RNAcentral is "partial 16S ribosomal RNA". It matches the Rfam family "Bacterial small subunit ribosomal RNA", at positions 28 to 507 of the family's 1533-position model. The record is from RNAcentral.
GACGAACGCUGGCGGCGUGCCUAAUACAUGCAAGUCGGACGCUGAAGGAGGAGCUUGCUUCUCUGGAUGAGUUGCGAACGGGUGAGUAACGCGUAGGUAACCUGCCUGGUAGCGGGGGAUAACUAUUGGAAACGAUAGCUAAUACCGCAUAAUAGUAGAUGUUGCAUGACAUUUGCUUAAAAGGUGCAAUUGCAUCACUACCAGAUGGACCUGCGUUGUAUUAGCUAGUUGGUGGGGUAACGGCUCACCAAGGCGACGAUACAUAGCCGACCUGAGAGGGUGAGCGGCCACGCUGGGACGGAGACACGGCCCAGACUCCUACGGGAGGCAGCGGUAGGGAAGCUUCGGCAAUGGACGGAAGUCUGACCGAGCAACGCCGCGUGAGGGAAGAAGGGUGUCGGAUCGUAAAGCUCUGUUGUAAGAGAAGAACGAGUGUGAGAGUGGAAAGUUCACACUGUGACGGUAUCUGACCAGAAAGCGACGGCUAACUACGUG